CAGCAGCCGCGGUAAUACGAAGGGAGCAAGCGUUAAUCGGAAUUACUGGGCGUAAAGCGUGCGUAGGCGGUGAGUUAAGUCUGCUGUGAAAUCCCCGGGCUCAACCUGGGAAUGGCAGUGGAUACUGGCUCGCUAGAGUGUGUCAGAGGAUGGCGGAAUUCCCGGUGUAGCGGUGAAAUGCGUAGAGAUCGGGAGGAACAUCAGUGGCGAAGGCGGCCAUCUGGGCCAACACUGACGCUCAUGCACGAAAGCGCGGGGAGCAAACAGGAUUAGAUACCCGCGUAGUCCCUGUCUCUUAUAC
Molecule: ribosomal RNA, 301 nt
Filed under: uncultured bacterium
Lineage: Bacteria
Description: partial 16S ribosomal RNA
Rfam family: Bacterial small subunit ribosomal RNA
Source: RNAcentral